AUGAACGCUGGCGGCGUGCUUAACACAUGCAAGUCGAACGAUUAAAGCUCACUUCGGUGAGUGUAUAGAGUGGCGAACGGGUGAGUAACACGUGGGAAACCUGCCCCUUUCUUCGGGAUAACUUCGGGAAACCGUUGCUAAUACCGGAUACUCCGGGAUGGUCGCAUGGCCGACCCGGGAAAGCUUUAUGUGGAAAGGGAUGGUCCCGCGGCCCAUUAGCUUGUUGGUGGGGUAAUGGCCUACCAAGGCGGAUGAUGGGUAGCCG
This 265-nucleotide ribosomal RNA is filed under the name uncultured bacterium. RNAcentral's name for it is "partial 16S ribosomal RNA". It matches the Rfam family "Bacterial small subunit ribosomal RNA", at positions 29 to 289 of the family's 1533-position model. The record is from RNAcentral.